Non-coding RNA from Arachis ipaensis, 128 nucleotides. Lineage: Eukaryota; Viridiplantae; Streptophyta; Magnoliopsida; Fabales; Fabaceae. The record is from RefSeq and is a predicted model, not a curated record.
UGAUUGGUGGUUGAAUAAUUAUUAGAGGAGACCCAGAGGAAGCUGCUUGAACUACAGACAGAGUUGGAAGCCAAGAAGUUGAAAAGGAAGGCGAUGGAGGAUGAAGCAGCAGUAGAGAAGAAAAAGAG